GAACGCUAGCGGACAGGCCUAACACAUGCAAGUCAGGGGCAGCACAAGAGCAAGUCUGAGGUGGCGACCGGCGCACGGGUGAGUAACACGUAUGCAACCUGCCUGUAAGCGGGGAAUAACCCGUUGAAAGACGGACUAAUACCGCAUAAUACUAAAUUACUGCAUGGUAAUUUAUUUAAACAUUUAUGGCUUACAGAUGGGCAUGCGCAUGAUUAGCUAGUUGGAGAGGUAACGGCUCCCCAAGGCAACGAUCAUUAGGGGUUCUGAGAGGAAGGUCCCCCACACUGGUACUGAGACACGGACCAGACUCCUACGGGAGGCAGCAGUGAGGAAUAUUGGUCAAUGGACGAGAGUCUGAACCAGCCAAGUCGCGUGCAGGAAGAAUGUCCUUAAUGGAUUGUAAACUGCUUUUGCAGGGGAAUAAAGUGCAUCACGUGUGAUGUUUUGUAUGUACUCUGCGAAUAAGGAUCGGCUAACUCCGUGCCAGCAGCCGC
This 494-nucleotide ribosomal RNA is filed under the name uncultured bacterium. RNAcentral's name for it is "bacterial SSU rRNA". It matches the Rfam family "Bacterial small subunit ribosomal RNA", at positions 31 to 518 of the family's 1533-position model. The record is from RNAcentral.